Long non-coding RNA from Spinacia oleracea (spinach), 274 nucleotides. RefSeq lists it as uncharacterized. The record is from RefSeq and is a predicted model, not a curated record. Lineage: Eukaryota; Viridiplantae; Streptophyta; Magnoliopsida; Caryophyllales; Amaranthaceae. The transcript has 3 exons.
GAAAGUCCUCCUAGUAAAUCGGUUGGAUUUUUCUUCAGUUCUACACCACUUGAAAACCAUGGUUUCAGGUCUUCAAAAUUGAGUGCCUCUCCUCAUGGGAAUGUCGCAGGAAGUAGUCCUCCAGUUGGCUCCUUGCCAAAGUCCUUCCCUCCAUUUCAGCAUCCAAGUCAUCAGUUACUUGAGGAAAAUGGCUUCAAACAGCAGAAGUACCUGAAGUACCAAAAGAAGUGUCUGAAUGACCGAAAGAAGUUAGGAAUAGGUUGCAGUGAGGUAA